UACGUAGGGUGCAAGCGUUAACCGGAAUUACUGGGCGUAAAGCGUGCGCAGGCGGUUAUGCAAGACAGAUGUGAAAUCCCCGGGCUCAACCUGGGAACUGCAUUUGUGACUGCAUGGCUAGAGUACGGUAGAGGGGGAUGGAAUUCCGCGUGUAGCAGUGAAAUGCGUAGAGAUGUGGAGGAACACCGAUGGCGAAGGCAGCCUCCUGGGCCAGCACUGACGCUCAUGCACGAAAGCGUGGGGAGCAAACAGG
RNAcentral lists this ribosomal RNA (253 nucleotides) under uncultured bacterium. Its description in RNAcentral is "partial 16S ribosomal RNA". It matches the Rfam family "Bacterial small subunit ribosomal RNA", at positions 524 to 776 of the family's 1533-position model. The record is from RNAcentral.